GAAGUUGACCAAACAGUCGCUGUUUAGUUUUGAAAAAUUAAAAAGAGGAAAGUCCGGGCUCCAUAGAGCAAGGUGCCAGAUAACACCUGGAAAGCGUAAGCUUAUGACUAGUGCAACAGAAAAAAAACCACCUAUUUUUUAUAGAAAAUAUGGCCAGGGUGAAAAGGUGUGGUAAGAGCACACCGCAUAAUUGGCAACAAUUCAUGGCAUGGUAAACUCCACCUGGAGCAAAGCUAAAUAUAGGGUAGAUUAAUUUCUUGUAUUGCUCGUACUUUACAAACCCUGGGUAAGCUGCUUGAAUUAGUAAGUGAUUACUAAUCUAGAUGAAUGACUGUUAAAACAGAACCCGGCUUAUAGGUCAACUUCAUUA
Molecule: RNase P RNA, 370 nt
Filed under: Buchnera aphidicola (Sitobion avenae)
Lineage: Bacteria; Pseudomonadati; Pseudomonadota; Gammaproteobacteria; Enterobacterales; Erwiniaceae
Also listed under: 1 other name
Description: RNase P RNA component class A
Rfam family: Bacterial RNase P class A
About the family: Ribonuclease P (RNase P) is a ubiquitous endoribonuclease, found in archaea, bacteria and eukarya as well as chloroplasts and mitochondria.
Source: RNAcentral